UCGGCGAUUUCUGUACGGUUUGCUUGGCUCAUCCUCCUUUUACUCUGCAAACUCGACGGCAAGGCUGAGCUUUACAAGGACGUGUCUCUAUCAUAUCUGUUUCUUGCUAAUAAUCUCCAAUACGUGGUUAACAAAGUCCAAAAAUCAAGCUUAAAAUUCCUUAUCGGCGAUGACUGGAUCACGAAACACGAGGCUAAGGUGAAACAGUACGCACUGAAUUACGAGCGCAUGGUGUGGAGCAAGGUUUUCUCUUCGUUGCCAGAGAAUUUAGCGUCGGGGAUGACGAUUCACGAAGCGGCAGAGUGUUUCAAGAGAUUUAACUCCGCUUUCGAGGAGGCAUACAAGAAGCAAAGUUCGUGGGUGGUGCCGGACGCUAAAUUAAGAGACGAGAUUAAAGUAUCGGCGGCGAAGAAGCUGGUGCUGGUAUAUCGGGAGUUUCACGACAAGUAUCGUGAGGUAGUAAGGAGGGAAAUUGGAAGCAUAAGUAAUGUCAAAUUUACCCCUGAUGAUUUGGGGAAUUAUUGUCGGAUUUGUUCUUUGGGAACAACGGUGGUUCCGGAAGUAUUUCGUCGGCUUCAUCAACGUCGUCGUUUUCUUCAUCGUCGGGUCAAUCCCGAGGUGGGAAAAGCCGUUGAUGCCGCUGUGGAAUCAUUUAGGCGCCUAAAUUUAAAAAAAUAGAAAAAAAAAAAGAAUAAAGACAAAGGAGCGUGUACAUUUUGGAGCAUAGGACCGUUGAGAUACCGCAACGGCA
This 751-nucleotide unclassified non-coding RNA is filed under the name Hevea brasiliensis (rubber tree). The record is from RNAcentral. Lineage: Eukaryota; Viridiplantae; Streptophyta; Magnoliopsida; Malpighiales; Euphorbiaceae.